Protopterus annectens (West African lungfish) is the source of this 947-nucleotide long non-coding RNA. RefSeq lists it as uncharacterized. The record is from RefSeq and is a predicted model, not a curated record. Lineage: Eukaryota; Metazoa; Chordata; Ceratodontiformes; Protopteridae. The transcript is spliced from 2 exons.
AUGAAUUUCACAGCAUCUGCUUUUUGUGUAAUUAUUGCAUUGUAAUGUUCGGUAUUUUAACCACUGAAUCAGACUUGGCAUCUUUCUCAAUGUUUUUUUAAACAUCAGAAAUCCUAUAACAGUUUACGACUGCCUGGAAGGUUGCAAACACGACAAAAUAAUUGUGCAUAGGCAAAAACAGGGAAAUCUGUUUAUGUGUACAGCACUGUUUGAAAUGGUCUUUACUUCCGGGCUCCUGGUUCUGUUAGCAGUAUAUUCCUGGCUUUCUUAACUUAUGGAGAAUAAGGGAUCCAGUCAUUGACAUGAUAACUUUAACUAUGAGGAAAAUUGUGGAAACACUUAUGACAUUCUGCAAACUAUUUGGUAAAUGGGGGCCCAGACAAGCUGACAGAAGCAAAGCAUAGAGCAAAAUAGUUGUUGAAAUCAAUGCAGUUACAGGCUGAAACAGAUCUCUAGCACAGUGCAAGAAAAGGACAAAUUAUAUGGUAGGACUUGCUACAGUAUUAAGUUAACACCAGAUGAUGGAUUCCUUCUAUCCAACCAUGGGGGAUGACUAUGAUACAGAAGAUGGUGCAAAUGGAAUAAAUAGAGGUGGCGUGGACACUGUUCUAUCAAACCAAAGUCUGCAGCAGCAUUUGCAUUCAUCAGCUGUUGAAAGUUGGUUUAAAAUGUACACCUUUUAAAUGUUUAACAUUCAAUGGUGACAAACAGUGCUGUAAUUAAACACAUCACAAUUCAUUAUUAUUAGGUCAGCCUUCUACAUCAGCUGCUAAUAAAAAUGAAGGCAGACUUCAUGGUAAGUGUCCUACACCCCUGACUCCAUGUAAACAUGCUAUAUCACAUGCUGUUGCACUAUUAUUAAUGUAUUAUGAUGAUUUCUGUUACAGACUCAGCAUAAGAAACAAACAGUUCAGUUGUACCAAUAAAUAUGGAUGAAGUCAGCAGUA